Long non-coding RNA from Sander lucioperca (pikeperch), 461 nucleotides. RefSeq lists it as uncharacterized. The transcript is spliced from 3 exons. The record is from RefSeq and is a predicted model, not a curated record. Lineage: Eukaryota; Metazoa; Chordata; Actinopteri; Perciformes; Percidae.
GCUCACGCCACGUCCGACUUACAGCUUCAUAUUGCCAGUGAGUACCAGUCUGUUCUGCCAGAGCACAAUGAUCCUCAGUUGGUACCGACCUGUGAUUCACAGUACAAGUGUCCCCUUUGUGAAAAGAAGGGAGACUUGUGUAAGCUGGUCCCUCAUUUACAGGGCCACAAGCCAAACACAGUUAAACAUGCAGUGCUUCAAUCUAGAGAGAGCCUUCUACUCAAAUGUACUCUAUUGCGACCAGCCCAGGAAAAGGAGAACACACACAGACAGUAGUUGCAUUACCAGGACCUACCCAUGCAACAAACACAGCUGCUGUCACCCACCUUUUUGUGUCCUCCAAUAAGCUGGGACUUUGCUGUGACCCUAGAGACACCCUGAGCUAUGUGUGAACCAAACGUUGUGUCAGUCCAUCCAGUAGAUUUUUAAAUAUUUGGAUAAGUGAAAACUUUAAGAGAGAC